Molecule: transfer RNA, 69 nt
Filed under: Caloperdix oculeus
Lineage: Eukaryota; Metazoa; Chordata; Aves; Galliformes; Phasianidae
Description: tRNA-Lys
Source: RNAcentral
CGUUAAGAAGCUAUGCACUCAGCACUAGCCUUUUAAGCUAGAGAAAGAGGACAUUAUCCUCCUUAACGA